GCACUAUCAAAGGGAGGCAUGUGAAGAGGCUUUUAACUUUUAUUAACUACGGUUGUAAGCUGUGAAAAGCACAAAUUUGAAAACAAUGAAUAAAUAAUGGAGAAAUGUGCUUCAAUUAUGGUUUAUAAAUGUAUCAGUCAAGUGAUUCAGUGUUAAAAUGACCACCACCACCCACCCACCCACCCACCACCAUGUAGUGGGGGUGGCUAGGGUUCGGUCGAGCAGUCUGCCCUGGUGCACUGUGACGUGUAGAUUUGCGUGUCCUGCUACUCUCAUCCUGCCGGUGUGGUGACUGUGACCUGCCCUGACCUGCCUGUGACCUGCCCUGACCUGCCUGUGACCUGCCUGUGACCUGCUUUUGACCUGCCUUGACUUCCUCUGACACACAUGGUGAACCGAGACCUUCCGAGACCUUCCAAGACCUUCCAAAAUCUGCCGUGACCCACAGAUGAAGAUGUAUAGAUUUAAGAAGUGCGAUGAUGCAACACAGACAGACAGACAGGUGUGGGAUGAGUGCUGGCAUACUGAAGGUCAAGAGGUCAAGAGUCACAUGUUGAGUUGUAUGGGUCACCAGACAGGUCACCCACCUAACCCCACUCGGCCUGUCAGUUCAGCGGCAACACUGUCAUGGAAGAAUUUGCCGCAAGCUGUGCCUCUCUGUGCUUGUUAUCCGAACCUUGUGUCUAAUAUUGCCUUAAUGUUGUGUGUGUGUGUGUGUGUGUGUGUGUGAGAGAGAGAGAGAGAUUUUGUUACUCGUCAUGUCCCCUGUACCAACUGAAGACCUCCACCAGACCCCCUCUUAGUCACCCUUGUUGUGUCCCCUGUACCACUUGAAGACCUCCACCAGACCCCCUCUUAGUCACCCUUGUUGUGUCCCCUGUACCACUUGAAGACCUCCACCAGACCCCCUCUUAGUCACCCUUGUUGUGUCCCCUGUACCACUUGAAGGUCUCCACCAGACCCCCUCUUAGUCACCCUUCUCUGAGGUACAACAGUGUCUAGUCAUCCUUCCUAUGUCAUCCUUGUGUAAUCAGGAAUAAUUAUCAGCAUUUGUUCUCCUCCUCUUCCUCCUCCUUCUGUCUGUCUGUCUGUCUGUCUGUCUGUCUGUCUGCCUACCAGUUAAAAUGAUCAAUGUAGUCAGUUAUACUUGUGGAUACUGUGUGUGUGUGUGUGUGUGUGUGUGUGUGUGUGUGCGUGCGUGUAUAUGAAUUAAUGUUUAUUGUGAAGUAUCUGCCUGCCUGCUUGCAAAUUAAUCAUCAAUAUAGUUACUGUUUGUGUGUGUUUGUUAUAAAGCAAUCUUGUGUAUAUUAUUGAUUGUAUUCCACAUGUAUGGGCUGGCCAGACGUGAUGUACUGUGACAGCCAGAACCUUGACAUAUACUGCUUGAUAAAAUGAAAAUAAGCAAAAAUACCUGAAUAAAGUACAAAUUUUGAGCCGAACUAAUGAGGACUUUCUCUCGUCUUUUUCAGAGGUGCGUACAUCUGCGAGUCACUCCAACCAACUUCUUAUAUCCUACCUUAUUCUGAUAUAUUAGGUUAGAUUCAGUUAGGUUACUUAUAUUGGGGGUCUGUCUUCCUUACUAACAAAAUUAACCUAACCAUUCCUUCCUUCUCGUCAAGCUGUCGGUGGGAGAAGCCCCAGGACUCUCAAGCGUGGGUUGAGUCACAACUGCGGGUGUGCUAGCUCACCUUGAAGUCAGACGGGGCUCACGUGUUGCAGUGUUGCAGUGUUGCAGAUCUUCACCCAAACAAGGGGAGUAUUGUUUUUUUGUGUUUUGUAUAUAUAUAUUUUUUUUGGGGGGGGAGGGGGUCUGGGGAUAGCUAUCUGCGGUGUGCGUCUGUGCGUGCGUCUGUGUGUGCGUCUGUGUGUGCGUCUGUGCACGUGCGUCUGUGUGCGUGCAUCUGUGUGUAUGUCUUUUUUUUGGUUGUGUGUGUGUGAAUUUUUUUUUGGUAUAAAUAUAUAGGUGGCAGGCCAUAGUGUUAGGAUAUUUGACAGAUUAAUAUAGAAGAUGGUUUAAGUUAGUUAUUAAUAUAGAAGAUGGUUUAAGUUAGUUAAGGGUUAAGUGAGGCAUAGAGAGAGAGAGAGAGAGAGGGGAAGACAGAUAUUAAUAGGAUUAGCUUAUAUUUUUUUUAGGGUUUUAAGUAAGUAUCCAGGUGGCAGGUCAGAAUGAUAUAAUAUUUAACUCAGAUUAAUAUAGAAGAUGGUUUUAAGUUAGUAUAUAUCAAAGGGUUAAGUGAGGCAUAGAGAGAGAGAGAGAAAGGGUUAAUAGGAUUAGAAUGACAGGAGUAUAUAUCAAAGGGUUAAGUGAGGCAUAGAGAGAGAGAGAGAGAGAUAGGGUUAUUAAUAGGAUGACAGGAGUAUAUAUGAAAGGGUUAAGUGAGGCAUAGAUAGGGUUAUUAAUAGGAUUAGGAUGACAGGGUGUAUGAAUGUUUAACUCAGAUUAUAUUGAAAGUUUAUUUCUUUAUAAUCUGAGUUUGUAUGGCAUGUUGAGUAUUAGUAUGUUAUUUUUGUAGUGGUGGUAGUGGUGGUGGGACGUAUGAAUGAUAUUUUUUUUUUUUUUUUUUGGUGGGGGGGGGCAAGGGGGGUAUAUAUAUAUAGUGUUAUAUAGAUAUUUUUUUUUUUUUAUCCCCAGAUCUUUGGUAAGAGAUCUGGGGAUUGUAUGUAUGUAUGUCUAGCCAGUAUUUUGGUAAGAUACUGGCUAGUGAGUGAGUGAGUGUGUGUGUGUGUGUGUGUGUGUGUGUGUGUGUGUGUACGUGUGUGUGUGCGUGCAUAUGUGUGUGUGUGCAGUUUUUUUUUUAGGUUAGGUUAAUUAGUUAAAUAAAUAAAUAAGAGCAUAGAUAUUAGUAAUAAUAAGAAAAUUUGAUAUUAGUAAUAAUAAAGAGGGUAAAUAAAUAAAUAAAUAAAUAAAUAAAUAUAGGAAUAGGGGCAGGUACCUUCAGGGGGGGGGUUGAUGGCAGAAGGGGGGGUACCUAUAGCAUACUAGAGAGAGGGGGGGGGUGAGGAAGCUGUAAUAAUAAAAAAAAUAAAUAAUAAAAAAAUUUGAGGGUAAAUAAAUAAAUAAAAAUAGGAAUAUUUAUCAGGUGCCGGUAGCAGAAGGGGGGGUACCUAUAGCAUACUAGAGAGAGGGGGGGGUGGGUGAGGAAGCUGUAUGAAUGAUGAGUAGACUAGGGGGGGGUCAGGGUGGGUAAUAUAUAAUAAUUUGUGUAAUAUUUCAACAUUUGUUAUAUCGACAUGCAUACUGACACUUUUCUCCCAGACAGAUAAGCCUGGCUGGUGAGACAGAGGGGGAGUGGCUUUCUAUUUCAUUAUGUAAGUGAUAUGAGGUGACAUGAGGUCGUCUGGCCAGCUGUGACCCUGUACAUGUGAUAGGCUUGGAAUUUAUUGUAAUUGUCAUUGUGUGUGUGUGUGUGUGUGUUUGUUUGUUUGUUAGUAUACUGUGAAUUAUAGAUGUUUGCUUAAUAUUUCCCAUGAAUUAACAAAAAAAGCACAAUUCUAUUAAUAUUUCUGUUUAUUUAUUGUAAACAAGACUUUUGUAUACCAGUUAUUUGUUGAAUAAAUCUAUAGUUAUUAA
Scylla paramamosain (green mud crab) is the source of this 3571-nucleotide long non-coding RNA. RefSeq lists it as uncharacterized. The record is from RefSeq and is a predicted model, not a curated record. NCBI's taxonomy places the organism in Eukaryota, Metazoa, Arthropoda, Malacostraca, Decapoda, Portunidae. The transcript is spliced from 6 exons.